RNAcentral lists this long non-coding RNA (400 nucleotides) under Elaeis guineensis (African oil palm). RNAcentral describes it as "long non-coding RNA (EGUI_LNC080010)". Lineage: Eukaryota; Viridiplantae; Streptophyta; Magnoliopsida; Arecales; Arecaceae. The record is from RNAcentral.
GUUGGGACUUUUCGAUCAGGGUUACAUAUCGAUGAAUUUUGAUGCCCGAUUGCCCAUCGAAUUUAGACUCAGUAUUUAUGUGAGAUUUAAUUAGUGAUUUGAUCAUUAAUUAACUUAAUUUUAUUGAGUAAUUAUUUUUGGAUCAAGUCCAAUUGAAUUGGAUUCAGUUGGGUUUGAUCCGAUUUGGUUAAGAGUUGACCUAAUCGUCGAGAUGGUUUGGUCUCUGAUUUGAUCAGGGGUUGGGCUUAGUCAAUUCCUGAUUUGAUUAAAAUUUUAUUGAGCCUAAUUAAGUCUAAUUAAGUUGGGUUUAAAUUAGUCUAAUUGGACCUAACUUAUUUGGUUCAAUUAGGUUGGUUUAAAUAAUUAGACCACCUUGACCCAAUCUCCAUGCGCCACCUCA